This is a non-coding RNA of Styela clava, 231 nucleotides long. The record is from RefSeq and is a predicted model, not a curated record. NCBI's taxonomy places the organism in Eukaryota, Metazoa, Chordata, Ascidiacea, Stolidobranchia, Styelidae.
UAUUUCAAAGCAAUGCUGGCCCAUAAUAAUGCUGAGACAGCAUCUGGUAAAGUGGAAAUGAAGGAAGUUGAUCCAUUAUCCUUGCAACAAUGCAUAGAUUAUAUUUACACUGGUGAAUUGUCUACUACUGAUGCAAAUGCUGAAUCUUUGAUGUAUGUGGCUGAAUUACUACAGUUGAAAGAUGUCUGUGGAGGCAUCGUUGAAUCACUUGAAGAAAAUCUCGAAGCAUCU